RNAcentral lists this transfer RNA (73 nucleotides) under Treponema sp. RNAcentral's name for it is "tRNA-Arg". It matches the Rfam family "tRNA". Rfam says of the family: Transfer RNA (tRNA) molecules are approximately 80 nucleotides in length. Their secondary structure includes four short double-helical elements and three loops (D, anti-codon, and T loops). The record is from RNAcentral. Lineage: Bacteria; Pseudomonadati; Spirochaetota; Spirochaetia; Treponematales; Treponemataceae.
GGUCCUGUAGCUCAGUGGAUAGAGCGGCCGCCUCCUAAGCGGCAGGUCGGCCGUUCGAUUCGGCCCAGGAUCA